This is a non-coding RNA of Microbotryomycetes sp. JL221, 97 nucleotides long. The record is from the annotation of a GenBank genome assembly. Lineage: Eukaryota; Fungi; Basidiomycota; Microbotryomycetes.
GUCCGGUUGAUCUAGUCGGUUAUGAUGCAGACCUAAUACGAUUCUUCUCGAUCCAGUGUUUAGUCUGAUGUCGGCGGUUCGAUCCCGCCACUGGACA